RNAcentral lists this ribosomal RNA (421 nucleotides) under uncultured eukaryote. RNAcentral's name for it is "bacterial SSU rRNA". It matches the Rfam family "Eukaryotic small subunit ribosomal RNA", at positions 592 to 1017 of the family's 1831-position model. The record is from RNAcentral.
CAAUAGCGUAUAUUAAAGUUGUUGCAGUUAAAAGCUCGUAGUUGGAUUUCGGAGUGGGCCAGUUGGUCCGCCGCAAGGUGUGUUACUGACUGGUUUGCUCUUCUUCGCAAAGACUGCGUGUGCCCUUAAAUGAGUGUGCGUAGGAUUUACGACGUUUACUUUGAGAAAAAUUAGAGUGUUCAAAGCAGGUUUCUUGCCUGAAUAUUACUCUUGGAAUAAUAAUAUAGGACUCUGUCUCUAGUUUGUUGGUUUACUGGUGCCGGAGUAAUGAUUAAUAGCGACGGUUGGGGUUCAUUCGUACUGCAAAGCGAGAGGUGAAAUUCUUGGACCUUUGUAUGACGAACAACUGCGAAAGCAUUUGACUAGGACGUUCGCGUUGAUCAAGAACGAAAGUUGGGGGAUCGAAGACGAUUAGAUACCG